GAGUUUGAUCAUGGCUCAGGAUGAACGCUAGCGAUAGGCCUAACACAUGCAAGUCGAGGGGCAGCACAUGAAGUAGCAAUACGGAUGGUGGCGACCGGCGCACGGGUGAGUAACGCGUACGCAACCUGCCUACAACAGGGGAAUAACCCGUUGAAAGACGGACUAAUACCCCAUAACACAGGGAUCCCGCAUGGGAAUAUUUGUUAAAGAUUUAUCGGUUGUAGAUGGGCAUGCGUUCCAUUAGCUUGUUGGUGAGGUAACGGCUCACCAAGGCAACGAUGGAUAGGGGAACUGAGAGGUUUAUCCCCCACACUGGUACUGAGACACGGACCAGACUCCUACGGGAGGCAGCAGUGAGGAAUAUUGGUCAAUGGACGCAAGUCUGAACCAGCCACGUCGCGUGAAGGAAGACGGCCCUACGGGUUGUAAACUUCUUUUGUAAGGGAAUAAAGUGUAGUACGUGUACUAUUUUGCAUGUACCUUACGAAUAAGGAUCGGCUAACUCCGUGCCAGCAGCCGCGGUAAUACGGAGGAUCCGAGCGUUAUCCGGAUUUAUUGGGUUUAAAGGGUGCGCAGGCGGGAGAUUAAGUCGGCGGUGAAAUUUUGCAGCUCAACUGUAAAAGUGCCUUCGAAACUGGUUUCCUUGAGUGUGGAUGAAGUAGGCGGAAUUUGUGGUGUAGCGGUGAAAUGCAUAGAUAUCACGAGGAACUCCGAUUGCGCAGGCAGCUUACUAAACCAUAACUGACGCUCAGGCACGAAGGCGUGGGGAUCAAACAGGAUUAGAUACCCUGGUAGUCCACGCAGUAAACGAUGAUUACUGGCUGUUUGCGAUACAAUGUAAGCGGCUGAGCGAAAGCGUUAAGCACUCCGCCUGGGGAGUACGUUCGCAAGAAUAAAACUCAAAGGAAUUGACGGGGACCCGCACAAGCAGCGGAGCAUGUGGUUUAAUUCGAAGCAACGCGAAGAACCUUACCUGGACUUGACAUCCCUCUGACCGUCUUUUAAUCAAGAUUUUCCCUUCGGGGACAGAGGAGACAGGUGGUGCAUGGUUGUCGUCAGCUCGUGUCGUGAGAUGUUGGGUUAAGUCCCGCAACGAGCGCAACCCUUGUCUUUAGUUGCCAUCAAGUAAAGUUGGGCACUCUAGAGAGACUGCCAAGGUAAACUUGGAGGAAGGUGGGGAUGACGUCAAAUCAUCAUGCCCUUUAUGUCCAGGGCUACACACGUGCUACAAUGGCCGAUACAACGGGCAGCUAAGGAGCAAUCCGGAGCAAAUCCUACAAAAUCGGUCCCAGUUCGGAUUGUGGGCUGAAAUUCGCCCACAUGAAGUCGGAGUUGCUAGUAAUCGCGAAUCAGCAUGUCGCGGUGAAUGCGUUCCCGGGUCUUGUACACACCGCCCGUCACACCACGGAAGUCGGAAGCGCCCGAAGCCAGCUACUUAACCGUAAGGAGAGAGCUGUCGAAGGUGAAGCCAAUGACUGGGGUGAAGUCGUAACAAGGUAGCCG
Molecule: ribosomal RNA, 1503 nt
Filed under: uncultured bacterium
Lineage: Bacteria
Description: bacterial SSU rRNA
Rfam family: Bacterial small subunit ribosomal RNA
Source: RNAcentral